CCUUCAAAUUCAAAUUUAUCCAAUCAUUUCUUCUGCUUACUACCAUCCUAAAUCAUUUUUCUUUAGUAAGAUCUAUUAGUGGGAAGCUAUUAAGCUAUUAAUGUAUCAUAUUAAUUGUAUUCAGAUAUUAAGUGAGGAGGUAAAGUUGCAUUCACAGGCCUUGAACUUUUCCACAUCUCGAUUUUUACCCAUCAUCUCUGAAUAGUUCCCUAAGGCAGCCUUCAAAUGGUGAUGUUUCUUAUAAUCCAGAGUUCAGAAGUGGCUUCUCUUCAAUCUUUCUGUGGAAUUCUAAACCAUGUGAUAAAGGAGCUGGUGAAAUCAUCACUGGGCUGAAAGAAUGUAGUACUGGUGACAUGAGACUGCAUUUCCAUUUUUAAUUAAAAUUCUAACUGACCCAGAGCCAGAUUUCCUUCUGCACCAGAGCCUGUGGAAGCGCCACAGUGGAAGCAGCAGAGACUGGAAGAGCAGGCAAGAAGCUGGGAGCUUUGCACUGAACCAGGAAGACACCACAGCUCUUAGGCAAAGACCCGGAAAGGUGUCAACAUGGCCACACUACUGCUCCCACCUUGUCCUUACUUUCCUCAUCUCACCCCCACAGGCCACAGAUCAGCCCUGGGGUUCAGAGGGAUCCUGACGGCUACUCCUCAAGAUCCUCUCUGUUGUGAUUCAUCCCCCCCGGGCCCUACAGUUUCUCCUUCCUGACUCUUACAUUUCUUUGGAUGGCAUCAUUAUUUACCUGUCUCCUCCCAUAGUUAGGUGCCAAGCACUGUGGAUUCUGCCCCUCAGUGUCCAGACACCCAUUU
This 803-nucleotide non-coding RNA is filed under the name Pan troglodytes (chimpanzee). Lineage: Eukaryota; Metazoa; Chordata; Mammalia; Primates; Hominidae. The record is from RNAcentral.